Non-coding RNA from Myodes glareolus (Bank vole), 1031 nucleotides. Lineage: Eukaryota; Metazoa; Chordata; Mammalia; Rodentia; Cricetidae. The record is from RefSeq and is a predicted model, not a curated record.
CAGAUUCAUAACAACAUGUAACAUGCCGGGCGGUGGUGGUGCACGCCUUUAAUCCCAGUAUUCCGGAAGCAGAGGCAGGAGGAUCUCUGUGAGUUUGAGAGGGAAGAACCAGGGCACAGCUACAGGAAGAGCAAAGCAAAAUCAGCAUCCAGGAGUGUAAUCGAAUCCUAGGCUCAGCGUCCAGCAUCUGGGGCUCACAAACUUCCGAGCUCCGAAGGGCUUGAGCAGAUCUACUCUGGUUCUGCCAUCUGCAGUAUGCACAACCCAUCUCAUAGGCUCUGACAGCUCCACUCCACAGCUACUGGGUGGUCAUCCGCCAAGAACUAGAGUCUGGACAACUCUAAUAUGAUGGAGUUUUCACUGCAACGGGGGCUGCCCCAUCACCAAUGGCCGGCCUCUCCCAGUGCCAAACCUCAGUUUCUCUACAUGAUCUCCUCAAUCCUAGGGUCUCCAUUGCAGCAGGGGCUGCACCUUCACCAAUAGCCCAUCUCUUCGGCUCUCUUCAGGGACUCUGACCCCGCUUUAUUGUGUCAAGCCUCAGCUGCUCUCAAUGAUCCCUUCAUGCUUUCGGAAACAGUGCCACCUGCUCUGGGUAGGAGGUCAGUACUGUGGGUGACUUUCCGAGCUCUUUGGAGGAGCCUAGAUCACAAAUGACUCCCAGAAGUCAGACACGGAGCUUUACUUUGUUAGACUUUGGGUCUACUUGAUUGUGGCUGUGACUUCUUGGAGUUCUUCCUUCUUGGAGUAAGAAAAUAUUUCACUUAUUUUGACUUUGCAGGAGAUCACGGUUGAUGGAGUUUCGAGUUUGGGAGAUAUUUUGGAGUGUUAGAGAGACUUAGACUAUUUUAAAGACUUUGGCUAUUUUAGAGGGCCUUGAACUUUGAAAGAGACUUUGGAAGUUUUAAAGAGAUUUAACAUUUAAAGUGUUUGAAUUUGUAAAGACUAUGACUUUUAAAAGUUGGGAUGCUUUAUAUUGUGAUAAUAUUAAUAUGUGAUCUUGGCAAUGAACAAGAAAGGGAAGGUAUGAUUAA